AGAGUUUGAUCAUGGCUCAGGAUGAACGCUGGCGGCGUGCUUAACACAUGCAAGUCGAACGGAGAUAUUUGAAAGCUUGCUUUAGAUAUCUUAGUGGCGGACGGGUGAGUAACGCGUGGGUAACCUACCCUGUACAGGGGGAUAGCAGUUGGAAACGACUGAUAAAACCGCAUAAAACGGCAGUACCGCAUGGUACAACCGUCAAAUAUUCAUAGGUACAGGAUGGGCCCGCGUCUGAUUAGCUAGUUGGUGGGGCAACGGCCUACCAAGGCGACGAUCAGUAGCCGGCCUGAGAGGGUGAACGGCCACAUUGGGACUGAGACACGGCCCAAACUCCUACGGGAGGCAGCAGUGGGGAAUAUUGGACAAUGGGGGAAACCCUGAUCCAGCGAACCGCCGCGUGAGUGAAGAAGUAUUUCGGUAUGUAAAGCUCUAUCAGCAGGGAAGAUGAUGACGGUACCUGACUAAGAAGCACCGGCUAAAUACGUGCCAGCAGCCGC
RNAcentral lists this ribosomal RNA (500 nucleotides) under uncultured bacterium. Its description in RNAcentral is "bacterial SSU rRNA". It matches the Rfam family "Bacterial small subunit ribosomal RNA", at positions 8 to 518 of the family's 1533-position model. The record is from RNAcentral.